GAUGAACGCUGGCUACAGGCUUAACACAUGCAAGUCGAGGGGAAACGACGGGGAAGCUUGCUUCCCCGGGCGUCGACCGGCGCACGGGUGAGUAACGCGUAUCCAACCUGCCUCUGACUGAGGGAUAACCCGUCGAAAGUCGGCCUAAUACCUCAUGGUAUCGUCUGCGGGCAUCCAACGACGAUUAAAGAUUUCAUCGGUCAGGGAUGGGGAUGCGUCUGAUUAGCUUGUUGGCGGGGUAACGGCCCACCAAGGCUACGAUCAGUAGGGGUUCUGAGAGGAAGGUCCCCCACAUUGGAACUGAGACACGGUCCAAACUCCUACGGGAGGCAGCAGUGAGGAAUAUUGGUCAAUGGGCGAGAGCCUGAACCAGCCAAGUAGCGUGCAGGAAGACGGCCCUAUGGGUUGUAAACUGCUUUUAUGCGGGGAUAAAGUGAGGGACGUGUCCCUCAUUGCAGGUACCGCAUGAAUAAGGACCGGCUAAUUCCGUGCCAGCAGCCGCGGUAAUACGGAAGGUCCUGGCGUUAUCCGGAUUUAUUGGGUUUAAAGGGAGCGUAGGCCGUGGAUUAAGCGUGUUGUGAAAUGCAGGUGCUCAACGUCUGCACUGCAGCGCGAACUGGUCCACUUGAGUGUGCGCAACGCAGGCGGAAUUCGUCGUGUAGCGGUGAAAUGCUUAGAUAUGACGAAAAACUCCGAUUGCGAAGGCAGCUUGCGGGAGCACAACUGACGCUGAAGCUCGAAAGUGCGGGUAUCGAACAGG
RNAcentral lists this ribosomal RNA (760 nucleotides) under uncultured Prevotella sp. RNAcentral's name for it is "bacterial SSU rRNA". It matches the Rfam family "Bacterial small subunit ribosomal RNA", at positions 28 to 776 of the family's 1533-position model. The record is from RNAcentral. Lineage: Bacteria; Pseudomonadati; Bacteroidota; Bacteroidia; Bacteroidales; Prevotellaceae.